RNAcentral lists this ribosomal RNA (460 nucleotides) under uncultured bacterium. RNAcentral describes it as "partial 16S ribosomal RNA". It matches the Rfam family "Bacterial small subunit ribosomal RNA", at positions 338 to 795 of the family's 1533-position model. The record is from RNAcentral.
CCUACGGGAGGCAGCAGUGAGGAAUAUUGGUCAAUGGGCGAGAGUCUGAACCAGCCAAGUAGCGUGAAGGAUGACUGCCCUAUGGGUUGUAAACUUCUUUUAUAUGGGAAUAAAACGUUCCACGUGUGGGAUUUUGUAUGUACCAUAUGAAUAAGGAUCGGCUAACUCCGUGCCAGCAGCCGCGGUAAUACGGAGGAUCCGAGCGUUAUCCGGAUUUAUUGGGUUUAAAGGGAGCGUAGGUGGAUUGUUAAGUCAGUUGUGAAAGUUUGCGGCUCAACCGUAAAAUUGCAGUUGAAACUGGCAGUCUUGAGUACAGUAGAGGUGGGCGGAAUUCGUGGUGUAGCGGUGAAAUGCUUAGAUAUCACGAAGAACUCCGAUUGCGAAGGCAGUUCACUGGACUGCAACUGACACUGAGGCUCGAAAGUGUUGGUAUCAAACAGGAUUAGAUACCCGAGUAGUC